This 579-nucleotide ribosomal RNA is filed under the name uncultured bacterium. RNAcentral describes it as "bacterial SSU rRNA". It matches the Rfam family "Bacterial small subunit ribosomal RNA", at positions 102 to 694 of the family's 1533-position model. RNAcentral also lists the same sequence under 1 other name. The record is from RNAcentral.
ACGGGUGAGUAACACGUGAGUAACCUGCCCUUGACUCUGGGAUAAGCCUGGGAAACUGGGUCUAAUACCGGAUACGACCAUUCCACGCAUGUGGUGGUGGUGGAAAGCUUUUGUGGUUUUGGAUGGACUCGCGGCCUAUCAGCUUGUUGGUGGGGUAAUGGCCUACCAAGGCGACGACGGGUAGCCGGCCUGAGAGGGUGACCGGCCACACUGGGACUGAGACACGGCCCAGACUCCUACGGGAGGCAGCAGUGGGGAAUAUUGCACAAUGGGCGCAAGCCUGAUGCAGCGACGCCGCGUGAGGGAUGACGGCCUUCGGGUUGUAAACCUCUUUCAGUAGGGAAGAAGCGAAAGUGACGGUACCUGCAGAAGAAGCGCCGGCUAACUACGUGCCAGCAGCCGCGGUAAUACGUAGGGCGCAAGCGUUAUCCGGAAUUAUUGGGCGUAAAGAGCUCGUAGGCGGUUUGUCGCGUCUGCUGUGAAAGACCGGGGCUCAACUCCGGUUCUGCAGUGGGUACGGGCAGACUAGAGUGCAGUAGGGGAGACUGGAAUUCCUGGUGUAGCGGUGAAAUGCGCAGA